Molecule: small RNA, 29 nt
Filed under: Bombyx mori (domestic silkworm)
Lineage: Eukaryota; Metazoa; Arthropoda; Insecta; Lepidoptera; Bombycidae
Description: ovarian small RNA-20440
Source: RNAcentral
UACAUGUGAAUUUGCGUGAAUAAUAGGUC